CGGAGGGAUCAUUACCGAGUUUACAACUCCCAAACCCCUGUGAACAUACCACUUGUUGCCUCGGCGGAUCAGCCCGCUCCCGGUAAAACGGGACGGCCCGCCAGAGGACCCCUAAACUCUGUUUCUAUAUGUAACUUCUGAGUAAAACCAUAAAUAAAUCAAAACUUUCAACAACGGAUCUCUUGGUUCUGGCAUCGAUGAAGAACGCAGCAAAAUGCGAUAAGUAAUGUGAAUUGCAGAAUUCAGUGAAUCAUCGAAUCUUUGAACGCACAUUGCGCCCGCCAGUAUUCUGGCGGGCAUGCCUGUUCGAGCGUCAUUUCAACCCUCAAGCACAGCUUGGUGUUGGGACUCGCGUUAAUUCGCGUUCCCCAAAUUGAUUGGCGGUCACGUCGAGCUUCCAUAGCGUAGUAGUAAAACCCUCGUUACUGGUAAUCGUCGCGGCCACGCCGUUAAACCCCAACUUCUGAAUGUUGACCUCGGAUCAGGUAGGAAUACCCGCUGAACUUAAGCAUAUCAAUAAGCGGAGGAAAAGAAACCAACAGGGAUUGCCCUAGUAACGGCGAGUGAAGCGGCAACAGCUCAAAUUUGAAAUCUGGCUCUCGGGCCCGAGUUGUAAUUUGUAGAGGAUACUUUUGAUGCGGUGCCUUCCGAGUUCCCUGGAACGGGACGCCAUAGAGGGUGAGAGCCCCGUCUGGUUGGAUGCCAAAUCUCUGUAAAGUUCCUUCAACGAGUCGAGUAGUUUGGGAAUGCUGCUCUAAAUGGGAGGUAUAUGUC
This 774-nucleotide ribosomal RNA is filed under the name fungal sp. RNAcentral describes it as "eukaryotic LSU rRNA". The stretch from base 472 to 774 matches the Rfam family "Eukaryotic large subunit ribosomal RNA", at positions 1 to 307 of the family's 3401-position model. Lineage: Eukaryota; Fungi. The record is from RNAcentral.